GACGAACGCUGGCGGCGUGCUUAACACAUGCAAGUCGAACGGAAAGGCCUGCUUUCCCUUGUGGAUUGCGGGUACUCGAGUGGCGAACGGGUGAGUAACACGUGAGUGAUCUGCCCCCAACUUGGGUAUAAGCCUGGGAAACUGGGUCUAAUUCCCGAUAGGACUGCAGGGUGGUGCCUGUGGUGGAAAACGAUUUUCUAGUGGUUGGGGAUGAGCUCGCGGCCUAUCAGCUUGUUGGUGGGGUAAUGGCCUACCAAGGCGGCGACGGGUAGCCGGCCUGAGAGCGUGGACGGCCACAUUGGGACUGAGAUACGGCCCAGACUCCUACGGGAAGCAGCAGUGGGGAAUAGUGCACAGUGGGCGGAAGCCUGAUGCAGCGACGCCGCGUGGGGGAUGACGGCCUUCGGGUUGUAAACUCCUUUCGACCGCGAGGAAGCCACCUGGUUGGAAGGGUGGUGACGGUAGUGGUAGAAGAAGCACCGGCUAACUACGUG
This 494-nucleotide ribosomal RNA is filed under the name uncultured bacterium. RNAcentral describes it as "partial 16S ribosomal RNA". It matches the Rfam family "Bacterial small subunit ribosomal RNA", at positions 28 to 507 of the family's 1533-position model. The record is from RNAcentral.